AGAACAAGAAAGGGUGGGAAAAUAAGAAAGGAAAAUAGAACAUUUUAGGGAAAGGGAAUAGUGUGUGCAAAGAUGAAGAAGUAUAAAAGAAAAUGUAGCUUAUUCCAGAAACUGCUAAAAGGAUCAAUAUGUUGUUGUGUCAUGAGAGAGCCACAAUUCUUCAAACAUAUUUAACUGCUGGAGGGAAUGGCUCAGAAUCCCAAGUAUCAGCUUCAGCACACAGACAAAAUAUAAGAAAGAAUUUGAGGUUGAUGUCAGAAGCAUUUCCAACAGGGCUAAGGAAGUCUUUUUUUGGAAAAUCUUUUCUUGGCCCUUGACAGAAGAAGCAGAAUAACUUUUCUUAGGUGGCAUAAUUCUUCAAAAUGUGUUCAUUUUGAAGAACAGGGGUGAUGGAUGGUAAUACACAGGCAGGGAUCAACAGUCCCAGAACUGAAGGAAGAGUUGACAAAUGUAUCAAAGAUGCCUAAUCAAAAUGUGUCCACGUUCUGCUGAGUAAAGUCUGGUUGAGCAGAACUAACAAA
RNAcentral lists this long non-coding RNA (521 nucleotides) under Pongo abelii (Sumatran orangutan). RNAcentral's name for it is "lincRNA". The record is from RNAcentral. Lineage: Eukaryota; Metazoa; Chordata; Mammalia; Primates; Hominidae.